RNAcentral lists this ribosomal RNA (497 nucleotides) under uncultured bacterium. RNAcentral's name for it is "partial 16S ribosomal RNA". It matches the Rfam family "Bacterial small subunit ribosomal RNA", at positions 28 to 507 of the family's 1533-position model. The record is from RNAcentral.
GAUGAACGCUGGCGGCGUGCCUAAUACAUGCAAGUCGAGCGAACAGACGAGGAGCUUACUCCUCUGACGUUAGCGGCGGACGGGUGAGUAACACGUGGAUAACCUACCUAUAAGACUGGGAUAACUUCGGGAAACCGGAGCUAAUACCGGAUAACAUGUUGAACCGCAUGGUUCAACAGUGAAAGACGGUCUUGCUGUCACUUAUAGAUGGAUCCGCGUCGCAUUAGCUAGUUGGUAAGGUAACGGCUUACCAAGGCAACGAUGCGUAGCCGACCUGAGAGGGUGAUCGGCCACACUGGAACUGAGACACGGUCCAGACUCCUACGGGAGGCAGCAGUAGGGAAUCUUCCGCAAUGGGCGAAAGCCUGACGGAGCAACGCCGCGUGAGUGAAGAAGGUCUUCGGGUCGUAAAACUCUGUUAUUAGGGAAGAACAAAUGUGUAAGUAACUAUGCACGUCUUGACGGUACCUAAUCAGAAAGCCACGGCUAACUACGUG